Molecule: transfer RNA, 66 nt
Filed under: Dorymyrmex brunneus
Lineage: Eukaryota; Metazoa; Arthropoda; Insecta; Hymenoptera; Formicidae
Description: tRNA-Asn
Source: RNAcentral
UUAACUAAAACCAAAAAGAGGUAAAUUAUUGUUAAUAAUUUCACUGAAUGUAUUAUUCUAGUUAAU